Molecule: long non-coding RNA, 481 nt
Filed under: Struthio camelus australis
Lineage: Eukaryota; Metazoa; Chordata; Aves; Struthioniformes; Struthionidae
Description: lncRNA (ENSSCUG00000017227.1)
Source: RNAcentral
UAAUUAGCAUAUAUAGCCAAGCUCACAAAAAUGCCCACCUUUUCUUUCUUCCUGAUCCUUCAACUCUGUUUCCUGGGCAAGUAACAAGUUAACGAUUUCAGCAUUCAAAGAAUUUUGCUGGCUUCCAGCGGGUGAAAAAAAGAGCCAGCGCUGGAGGGAAGAACUGUUUUGACACUGAACAGAGCCGACGUGGCUGUCCUGGCAGUAGCCAUCCUGUCUGCAUGCUUGUCCAAAAUGGAUACAUUUGGAUGACUGCGCUGAAAAAAGACUGAGAGCAAAAAUAAUUAAGGCUGCUGGCCCUCAGCGCAUCAGGAGCAGCAAGACACGCACCGUUUGCUGCUAGGAGCUAUAGAGAAGCAAAAAAAUCUCUGCAGCAACAAGGUCAGUGCCCCCAGUGCUUCCCUUUAUACCCCAGAGGCCAAACCUAAACAAAACCAGUUGCAUCUCAAUUCCCCUUGUGUAACUUUAAAUUCAAAACCUG